Molecule: ribosomal RNA, 253 nt
Filed under: uncultured bacterium
Lineage: Bacteria
Description: partial 16S ribosomal RNA
Rfam family: Bacterial small subunit ribosomal RNA
Source: RNAcentral
UACGGAGGGCGCGAGCGUUGUCCGGAAUCAUUGGGCGUAAAGAGCUCGUAGGCGGCCGGUUGCGUCUGCUGUGAAAUCCCGGGGCUUAACCCCGGGCGUGCAGUGGAUACGGGCUGGCUGGAGGCAGGCAGGGGAGAAUGGAAUUCCCGGUGUAGCGGUGAAAUGCGCAGAUAUCGGGAGGAACACCGGUGGCGAAGGCGGUUCGCUGGGCCGGUGCUGACGCUGAGGAGCGAAAGCGUGGGGAGCGAACAGG